UGCAUCGGCCGGAAUCGAACCCGGGCCGCCCGCGUGGUAGGCGAGCAUUCUACCACUGAACCACCGAUUGU
This 71-nucleotide transfer RNA is filed under the name Cordylochernes scorpioides. Its description in RNAcentral is "tRNA-Gly". Lineage: Eukaryota; Metazoa; Arthropoda; Arachnida; Pseudoscorpiones; Chernetidae. The record is from RNAcentral.